RNAcentral lists this unclassified non-coding RNA (317 nucleotides) under Hevea brasiliensis (rubber tree). The record is from RNAcentral. Lineage: Eukaryota; Viridiplantae; Streptophyta; Magnoliopsida; Malpighiales; Euphorbiaceae.
GAAGAAGAAGAAGAAGAAGAGUAAUAAAUAGGUUCUCUCUUAUUUCCUCAGGAGGGAAUUUGUGUGCUGAUAUGAUGUGGCUGCAAAAGUGGUGGUGGCUUAGCAAGAAGAGGAAUAACAUGCAAGCAAGCAAGAAGGUGAUUAAAAAAAAUGCAAGAGCCUACCUUUAUGAGAAAGGUAGUAGAUGAUGUUAACAUAUUGAUGCUAAUAAAUAGGGUUCUAGUUCUGGUAUAGGUUAGCUGAGCUGAAAUAUGGUGUAGUAUUCGAGUCUUGAGGAGUUUUAAAAGAGAUGGGGAUUGAUCGAUCACUACUCUCUA